UUUCGCAAUGCCCGAAAGGGUGACGAAGCGACGCCGCGUGCGGGAAGAAGGCCUUCGGGUUGUAAACCACUGUCGGGAGUUAGGAAAUGCAGGUGCGUUAAUAGCGCACUUGCUUGACUAAGGCUCCAGAGGAAGCCACGGCUAACUCUGUGCCAGCAGCCGCGGUAAUACAGAGGCGGCAAGCGUUGUUCGGAAUUAUUGGGCGUAAAGAGCACGUAGGCGGCCUUGCAAGUCAGUUGUGAAAGCCUUCCGCUUAACGGAAGAACGGCAUCUGAUACUACAGGGCUUGAGUACGGGAGGGGAGAGUGGAACUUCUGGUGGAGCGGUGAAAUGCGUAGAUAUCAGAAGGAACGCCGGCGGCGAAGGCGACUCUCUGGUCCGAAACUGACGCUGAGUGUGCGAAAGCUAGGGGAGCAAACGGGAUUAGAUACCCCGGUAGUCCUAGCCGUAAACGAUGGGCACUAAGUAGAGGGGUUUU
RNAcentral lists this ribosomal RNA (478 nucleotides) under uncultured Planctomycetales bacterium. RNAcentral describes it as "bacterial SSU rRNA". It matches the Rfam family "Bacterial small subunit ribosomal RNA", at positions 364 to 832 of the family's 1533-position model. Lineage: Bacteria; Pseudomonadati; Planctomycetota; Planctomycetia; Planctomycetales. The record is from RNAcentral.